This 690-nucleotide long non-coding RNA is filed under the name Mytilus galloprovincialis (Mediterranean mussel). Lineage: Eukaryota; Metazoa; Mollusca; Bivalvia; Mytilida; Mytilidae. The record is from RNAcentral.
AAGAUCGUGUCCGCUCUAUAUCUUGAGAACCGUUAUCAUUUCAAAGUUUAUACUUGACAUGUUUAUAAACCAACACCAAAGGGUGUGUCAUAAUUUAUUUACAACAUCCUAGGUCAAAGGUCAAGGUCAAAAACUUUGAUUUCAGUUGACAAACCCAUGUCCUAUGGUAAAGAUACAAUUUAUUAAUGCACAUUAUUCACAGCGGGGCCCACAGAGAUGGCUCCCAUCUCAAUGAUAUCUGGUUGCCUCAAAUUGCAAGUAUGGGGGUGAAAUUACACUGUAAAAAAAUUUGGGUCCAGAAUUUUAAAGGAAAGUAGUGAUUUGGUCCAGCUGAAAAAGGUUGAAAAUUAGCACUUCGGAAGCUGUCAAAAGAUUUCAAGACGCCCUAAACAUAAAAUUGUCCAUAUUUUGAGUUAGAGCCGAUGAAGUUUUCUAUAAUUUUGAUAUAAUUUGUCCCAAAAGUAGUACAACACACUGUAAAAAUUUCUUUGAGAAAGCGCAGGUGGGAUUUUUUUUAUUUUCAUUUAUGUUCUAAAAGAAAUGCACUACGAAAUAAUUGUGUUCUCGGACCUGGUGCAAAUAUGUAAAUUACUUGGAUCAUUAUUGACUUGUAGAAAAAUACAAUUUACGGAAUUUGAAAAUCUUGUUUUUUUUUUAUUCAUUAAUAAUAUUUUUUGCAAUUAUUUGCCC